Molecule: ribosomal RNA, 526 nt
Filed under: Puntius mahecola
Lineage: Eukaryota; Metazoa; Chordata; Actinopteri; Cypriniformes; Cyprinidae
Description: partial 16S ribosomal RNA
Rfam family: Bacterial large subunit ribosomal RNA
Source: RNAcentral
GAGGUCCAGCCUGCCCAGUGACCACAAGUUCAACGGCCGCGGUACCCUGACCGUGCAAAGGUAGCGCAAUCACUUGUCUUUUAAAUAAAGACCUGUAUGAAUGGCCAAACGAGGGCUUAACUGUCUCCCCUUUCAAGUCAGUGAAAUUGAUCUGCCCGUGCAGAAGCGGACAUAAUAAUACAAGACGAGAAGACCCUAUGGAGCUUAAGGCAUAAAACUCAACCACGCCAAAAACUCCGCAAAAGUUAACAAGCCCAGUGAUAAAUGAGACCAUGCCUUCGGUUGGGGCGACCAUGGAGGAAAAUAAAGCCUCCAGGAGGAAUGGGGUUAAACCCUUAAACCAAGAGACACAUCUCUAAGCUUCAGAACAUCUGACCAUAAAUGAUCCGGCCAACCAAGACCGAUCAACGAACCAAGUUACCCUAGGGAUAACAGCGCAAUCCUCUCUGAGAGUUCGUAUCGACGAGGGGGUUUACGACCUCGAUGUUGGAUCAGGACAUCCUAAUGGUGCAGCAGCUAUUAAGGG